CAAUAGCGUAUAUUAAAGUUGUUGCAGUUAAAAAGCUCGUAGUUGGAUUUCUGAUCGAGACAUCAGGUCGGGUCCGAGAGGAUCAUGUACUUUGAUUUUGUUUUGAUCAUCCUUGGGGAGAGCAUUUCUGGCAUUCAGUUGUCGGGAUUGGGAUCCUCAUCGUUUACUGUGAAAAAAUUAGAGUGUUCAAAGCAGGCCUCGGCCUCUGAAUACAUUAGCAUGGAAUAAUAAGAUAGGACUUUGGUGGUCUAUUUUGUUGGUUUGCACGCCAAAGUAAUGAUUAAUAAGGAUAGUUGGGGGUAUUCGUAUUCAAUUGUCAGAGGUGAAAUUCUUGGAUUUAUGGAAGACGAACUACUGCGAAAGCAUUUACCAAGGAUGUUUUCAUUAA
Molecule: ribosomal RNA, 388 nt
Filed under: uncultured eukaryote
Lineage: Eukaryota
Description: partial 18S ribosomal RNA
Rfam family: Eukaryotic small subunit ribosomal RNA
Source: RNAcentral